AUUAAUCAGCAUGUAAGCUAAGUUAAAUCAAACCAUGAUAACACUCUUUUCACCAACUAAAACACCACAUUCGAUUUGAUCUUAGAAAUUACAUGGCAUCACAGCUGUCACAAGUAUAUAAAAAGGAAGAUCGUGUGAGGUAUCAGAUUACACAUUUUUCUUUUUGAUCUGUAAACAAAAGAUUUUUAAAUAAUUACACGCAAUGAACACGGUGAUGGUCAUUCGAGUAAUUUCAGCCGAAUAGCAUAUUUUCUUUUCCUAAGUGCCAUCUUCACUUGAUAUACCUCAUUUUCUUCCUAUAAAUAGCGUUCAUCUCUUCCGGUAAGAACAUACCAAAACCAAAACCAAAAGAAGAAGAAGGUACAGAGAAAGAACAAUGUCAGGAAUCAUUCACAAGAUUGGAGAGACCCUUCAUGUGGGAGGGCACAAGAAAGAGGAGGAGCACAAAGGGGAGCAUCAUGGUGAACACAGUGAGUACAAAGGAGAGCACCAUGGUGAACACAAGGGUGAUCAUCAUGGUGAAUACAAAGGGGAGCACAAGCCCGAGCACCAUGGAGAAGAGCACAAAGAAGGGUUCGUAGAGAAGAUCAAAGACAAGCUCCACGGUGAAGGUGCUGAGGGCGAGAAGAAGAAGAAAAAGGAGAAGAAGAAGAAACAUGAAGAUGGCCAUGGCCAUGACAGCAGCAGCAGCAGUGACAGUGAUUAGAUAUAACUGCUGCAUCACCUAUAUAUAUUAUAUAUGUUAAGCUAAGGUAAACUCUUAUUUCUGUUAUCUUGUGUAUGUUCUAUCAAUAUUCUGCAUGAUUUUCUUCAUUGGUGUUUGGAACAUGAUGACAAAUUAGGAAAUUUCUGAUCUUGUUUUCUUCUAUUACUUUGAUUUGAUCUGUCAUUGUAUGAUUAAAAUGGACAAAAUGACUAAGGUUUAAUGUCAUAUAUGUUCUGAUUUUUCUUUUUGUCGUUGUCUGAAGCAGGUGUAUGUGACCAUAGCAGUGAGGGCUGUGACUUCUUUUCUUGCUUUCUUGUGAUCUGCAUUUAUGAGUGGAAAAAAAAAGUGAGAGAAAAUUGUGGUGUGUGGUUGGAGAUUGAAGUUGUAUGAAUCUGUGGUUUGGUUGGUGUGUAAUUAACCCCACUGCUUUGGUUGUAUGUUAUCAUAUGAAAUAAAAAUUUAAAUUAUCAGUUUUAGUACUGAAAAAAAAAAAAUUAACAACAUUUUUUAAUAACUUUUUAACAUUUUGACAUAUCAUAGUUAAUGAUUUAUCUAUUUUAAAUAUUUUUUUAAAUAUAAACUCAAAUAAACCAAUAAAAUAAAAUAAUGAUACCCUUCCGUUAUAAAAAUUUGUUAAAAUAUCA
This 1350-nucleotide long non-coding RNA is filed under the name Vigna radiata. Its description in RNAcentral is "long non-coding RNA (VRAD_LNC017995)". The record is from RNAcentral. Lineage: Eukaryota; Viridiplantae; Streptophyta; Magnoliopsida; Fabales; Fabaceae.